This 565-nucleotide ribosomal RNA is filed under the name uncultured Glomus. Its description in RNAcentral is "SSU rRNA". It matches the Rfam family "Eukaryotic small subunit ribosomal RNA", at positions 546 to 1106 of the family's 1831-position model. Lineage: Eukaryota; Fungi; Glomeromycota; Glomeromycetes; Glomerales; Glomeraceae. The record is from RNAcentral.
AAUUGGAGGGCAAGUCUGGUGCCAGCAGCCGCGGUAAUUCCAGCUCCAAUAGCGUAUAUUAAAGUUGUUGCAGUUAAAAAGCUCGUAGUUGAAUUUCGGGAUUGACACAUCGGUCGUGCCUUAAGGGGUAUGAACUGGUGUAGUCAAUUUCUCACCUUCUGGAGAACCGCGAUGCCCUUAAUUGGGUGUCACGGGGAACCAGGACCUUUACUUUGAAAAAAUUAGAGUGUUUAAAGCAGGCAUUUUGCUUGAAUACAUUAGCAUGGAAUAAUAAAAUAGGACGGCAUGAUUCUAUUUUGUUGGUUUCUAGGAUCACCGUAAUGAUUAAUAGGGAUAGUUGGGGGCAUUAGUAUUCAAUUGUCAGAGGUGAAAUUCUUGGAUUUAUUGAAGACUAACUACUGCGAAAGCAUUUGCCAAGGAUGUUUUCACUAAUCAAGAACGAAAGUUAGGGGAUCGAAGACGAUCAGAUACCGUCGUAGUCUUAACCAUAAACUAUGCCGACUAGGAAUCAGACGAUGUUAAUUUUUUAAUGACUCGUUUGGCACCUUACGGGAAACCAAAGUGU